RNAcentral lists this ribosomal RNA (274 nucleotides) under uncultured bacterium. Its description in RNAcentral is "partial 16S ribosomal RNA". It matches the Rfam family "Bacterial small subunit ribosomal RNA", at positions 523 to 796 of the family's 1533-position model. The record is from RNAcentral.
AUACGAAGGUCCCAAGCGUUAUUCGGAAUCACUGGGCGUAAAGAGUAUGUAGGCGGUUUGGUAAGUCAGGUGUGAAAUCCCGAAGCUCAACUUCGGAACUGCAUCCGAUACUGCUAGACUUGAGUAAUGGAGAGGCAGGUGGAAUUCUCAGUGUAGCAGUGAAAUGCGUGGAUAUCGUGAGGAAGACCAAUGGCGAAGGCAGCCUGCUGGACAUUUACUGACGCUGAGAUACGAAGGCUAGGGUAGCGAAAGGGAUUAGAAACACCGGUAGUCC